GACGAACGCUGGCGGCGUGCCUAAUACAUGCAAGUAGGACGCACAGUCUAUACCGUAGCUUGCUACACCAUAGGCUGUGAGUUGCGAACGGGUGAGUAACGCGUAGGUAACCUGCCUAUUAGAGGGGGAUAACUAUUGGAAACGAUAGCUAAUACCGCAUAACAGUAUGUAAUACAUGUUAGAUGCUUGAAAGAUGCAAUUGCAUCGCUAGUAGAUGGACCUGCGUUGUAUUAGCUAGUAGGUAGGGUAAUGGCCUACCUAGGCGACGAUACAUAGCCGACCUGAGAGGGUGAUCGGCCACACUGGGACUGAGACACGGCCCAGACUCCUACGGGAGGCAGCAGUAGGGAAUCUUCGGCAAGGGGGGGAACCCUGACCGAGCAACGCCGCGGGAGUGAAGAAGGUUUUCGGAUCGUAAAGCUCUGUUGUUAAGGAAGAACGAGUGUGAGAAUGGAAAGUUCAUACUGUGACGGUACUUAACCAGAAAGGGACGGCUAACUACGUG
Molecule: ribosomal RNA, 505 nt
Filed under: uncultured bacterium
Lineage: Bacteria
Description: partial 16S ribosomal RNA
Rfam family: Bacterial small subunit ribosomal RNA
Source: RNAcentral